AUUUAUAUAGUUUAACUAUAAAACAUUACAUUUUCAAUGUAAAAUUAAAAUUCUUAUUUUUGUAAAUA
This 68-nucleotide transfer RNA is filed under the name Cercyon unipunctatus. Its description in RNAcentral is "tRNA-Glu". It matches the Rfam family "tRNA". Rfam says of the family: Transfer RNA (tRNA) molecules are approximately 80 nucleotides in length. Their secondary structure includes four short double-helical elements and three loops (D, anti-codon, and T loops). RNAcentral also lists the same sequence under 1 other name. The record is from RNAcentral. Lineage: Eukaryota; Metazoa; Arthropoda; Insecta; Coleoptera; Hydrophilidae.